Molecule: ribosomal RNA, 1129 nt
Filed under: Escherichia coli
Lineage: Bacteria; Pseudomonadati; Pseudomonadota; Gammaproteobacteria; Enterobacterales; Enterobacteriaceae
Description: partial 23S ribosomal RNA
Rfam family: Bacterial large subunit ribosomal RNA
Source: RNAcentral
AAUGGGUCAGCGACUUAUAUUCUGUAGCAAGGUUAACCGAAUAGGGGAGCCGAAGGGAAACCGAGUCUUAACUGGGCGUUAAGUUGCAGGGUAUAGACCCGAAACCCGGUGAUCUAGCCAUGGGCAGGUUGAAGGUUGGGUAACACUAACUGGAGGACCGAACCGACUAAUGUUGAAAAAUUAGCGGAUGACUUGUGGCUGGGGGUGAAAGGCCAAUCAAACCGGGAGAUAGCUGGUUCUCCCCGAAAGCUAUUUAGGUAGCGCCUCGUGAAUUCAUCUCCGGGGGUAGAGCACUGUUUCGGCAAGGGGGUCAUCCCGACUUACCAACCCGAUGCAAACUGCGAAUACCGGAGAAUGUUAUCACGGGAGACACACGGCGGGUGCUAACGUCCGUCGUGAAGAGGGAAACAACCCAGACCGCCAGCUAAGGUCCCAAAGUCAUGGUUAAGUGGGAAACGAUGUGGGAAGGCCCAGACAGCCAGGAUGUUGGCUUAGAAGCAGCCAUCAUUUAAAGAAAGCGUAAUAGCUCACUGGUCGAGUCGGCCUGCGCGGAAGAUGUAACGGGGCUAAACCAUGCACCGAAGCUGCGGCAGCGACACUAUGUGUUGUUGGGUAGGGGAGCGUUCUGUAAGCCUGUGAAGGUGUACUGUGAGGUAUGCUGGAGGUAUCAGAAGUGCGAAUGCUGACAUAAGUAACGAUAAAGCGGGUGAAAAGCCCGCUCGCCGGAAGACCAAGGGUUCCUGUCCAACGUUAAUCGGGGCAGGGUGAGUCGACCCCUAAGGCGAGGCCGAAAGGCGUAGUCGAUGGGAAACAGGUUAAUAUUCCUGUACUUGGUGUUACUGCGAAGGGGGGACGGAGAAGGCUAUGUUGGCCGGGCGACGGUUGUCCCGGUUUAAGCGUGUAGGCUGGUUUUCCAGGCAAAUCCGGAAAAUCAAGGCUGAGGCGUGAUGACGAGGCACUACGGUGCUGAAGCAACAAAUGCCCUGCUUCCAGGAAAAGCCUCUAAGCAUCAGGUAACAUCAAAUCGUACCCCAAACCGACACAGGUGGUCAGGUAGAGAAUACCAAGGCGCUUGAGAGAACUCGGGUGAAGGAACUAGGCAAAAUGGUGCCGUAACUUCGGGAGAAGG